CAAUAGCGUAUAUUAAAGUUGUUGCGGUUAAAAAGCUCGUAGUUGGAUUUCUGCUGAGAACGACCGGUCCGCCCUCUGGGUGUGUAUCUGGCUCUUUCUUGGCAUCUUCUUGGUGAACGUUGCUGCACUUGACUGUGUGGAGCGCUACCCAGGACUUUUACUUUGAGGAAAUUAGAGUGUUUCAAGCAGGCAUACGCCUCGAAUACAUUAGCAUGGAAUAAUAAGAUAGGACCUCGGUUCUAUUUUGUUGGUUUCUAGAGCUGAGGUAAUGAUUAAUAGGGAUAGUUGGGGGCAUUCGUAUUUAACUGUCAGAGGUGAAAUUCUUGGAUUUGUUAAAGACGGACUACUGCGAANGNAUUUGCNAAGGAUGUUUNCAUUG
This 379-nucleotide ribosomal RNA is filed under the name uncultured eukaryote. RNAcentral's name for it is "partial 18S ribosomal RNA". It matches the Rfam family "Eukaryotic small subunit ribosomal RNA", at positions 592 to 975 of the family's 1831-position model. The record is from RNAcentral.